This 253-nucleotide ribosomal RNA is filed under the name uncultured bacterium. RNAcentral's name for it is "partial 16S ribosomal RNA". It matches the Rfam family "Bacterial small subunit ribosomal RNA", at positions 524 to 776 of the family's 1533-position model. The record is from RNAcentral.
UACGUAGGGAGCAAGCGUUGUCCGGAAUCAUUGGGCGUAAAGGGUGCGCAGGCGGUUCUGCAAGUCAGGCGUGAAAUCCCCGGGCUUAACCUGGGAAUGGCGCUUGAAACUACGGGACUGGAGUAUGGCAGAGGGAGGUGGAAUUCCACGUGUAGCGGUGAAAUGCGUAGAGAUGUGGAGGAACACCGAUGGCGAAGGCAGCCUCCUGGGCCAAUACUGACGCUCAUGCACGAAAGCGUGGGGAGCAAACAGG